CAUUCCCUUUUCACUUUGCUAAUUGGUGAAAUGUCUUUACUGAUCAUAUAAGUGGAGCAGAGGAACUGUCCUUUUAAAACUCUGACAAAUUGAGUGUUAUCUAAGUUAGAGGAGACAAAU
Molecule: small nucleolar RNA, 120 nt
Organism: Sciurus vulgaris (Eurasian red squirrel)
Lineage: Eukaryota; Metazoa; Chordata; Mammalia; Rodentia; Sciuridae
Source: Ensembl